ACAUACAUAGCCAUCAAACUUUAACAAAAGAAGUUUAGACCAAAUAAAUAUCAUAACCAAGAUUUAUCACGCUCAUAUACAGGUUAAGGUUUUAAAACAUUCUACAACACGUCAAAAGUGAUAAGAGAAAUAAAGUGUUGCAGCGGAGUACAUCAUUGGACAUUAUGUAUGAAGACACAACAUCCUGAGCCUAUUACUAUUUACAUAAACAAAAAGCUCCAGCUCAGCACACUUCCAUCUUCAUCCAAACUUAACCUGCACAUUUAAAAAGAUAUGCAGGGCUGAGUACCACAAGCACUCAGUGAACAAAUGCCGAAAAUAUUUAAAACUCUGCAUGAUAAUGCUAUAUAUAUAUUGAACUUGCCACUUUAAGCAAUACACAAGUGAUUUCUAAAGCAACCUGUCUUUGCUAAACUGUUUUUACAUAGUAUCUGAAAGUGUCUGCGCAGACUAAGUUCUCAUAUAAGUAUGUACCAUAUCUACUAGUCUCAAUAAACACGUUGAGAAGUAGGCCUCCUUCCCAAACGUAACGACAAGCUAACUCAAGGUUAACCGUCACUCUGUGUACACAAAUCCUGACUCGCUCAGGACCCGAAUUCGUUCUUCUAUGUAGAUGGUAUCAUACAAAUCUUAAAUAUUGGCAAGUCAACAAUUUGAAAAUAAAUGCAUACACUUAAACUUUAUAUAAUAAAGUAUGCAUCAUUGUUUCUUGAGUUAGUAAGCCCACCUGAUAUGUUUCUCUUACUUCGUACUCUAGUGUCGGGCUCGUUCCUAGCCGGAACCUUUAAAUAGAUAAAGAUUUUUUUGUAAGAAAAAUAAGUAAGAAAAUAUAUAUAUAUAUAUA
Molecule: long non-coding RNA, 844 nt
Filed under: Salvia miltiorrhiza (redroot sage)
Lineage: Eukaryota; Viridiplantae; Streptophyta; Magnoliopsida; Lamiales; Lamiaceae
Description: long non-coding RNA (SMIL_LNC005942)
Source: RNAcentral